GACGAACGCUGGCGGCGUGCUUAACACAUGCAAGUCGAACGGAAAGGCCCUGCUUUUGUGGGGUGCUCGAGUGGCGAACGGGUGAGUAACACGUGAGUAACCUGCCCUUGACUUUGGGAUAACUUCAGGAAACUGGGGCUAAUACCGGAUAGGAGCUCCUGCUGCAUGGUGGGGGUUGGAAAGUUUCGGCGGUUGGGGAUGGACUCGCGGCUUAUCAGCUUGUUGGUGGGGUAGUGGCUUACCAAGGCUUUGACGGGUAGCCGGCCUGAGAGGGUGACCGGGCAGAGUGGGGGAGUGCUGCGGCAUGGGCGGAUGCCGGCGGCAGCAGCGGGGAGUGCGGGACGAGGGGCGGCAGCCUGUCACAGCCGCUCGGCGGGGGGGAUGAGGGCGUGCGGGUAGUAAACAAAGCUCGACCGUGAAGAACCGUGCGAGAGGCCGAUGGAUAAAGUCGCAACGGCGAGCCACAUG
Molecule: ribosomal RNA, 468 nt
Filed under: uncultured bacterium
Lineage: Bacteria
Description: partial 16S ribosomal RNA
Rfam family: Bacterial small subunit ribosomal RNA
Source: RNAcentral